Molecule: long non-coding RNA, 329 nt
Organism: Budorcas taxicolor (takin)
Lineage: Eukaryota; Metazoa; Chordata; Mammalia; Artiodactyla; Bovidae
Exons: 3
Source: RefSeq, a predicted model, not a curated record
AAAACCAUGGGAGUUUUACGAGGAAACCUGAAAUCGAACAGGAGAAAAGGAACAGAUUUCCAAGAGCAAGAAACAAGGUGGGAUGAGGGCCAGUGUGAGACUGCAGAGUUUGGCCAAAUGUAGACUGUUUUCUCCCAGGGGACACUCCGCAGAAAGAGAGAGGCAGUGGAACUUACCUCAGCAAAGCCCAGGGAUCCUGAGGAGAGGUCUCCAGUGUUAUCAUGUGCAUAAUAAGGGAGAUGGACUGAAGGAAGCUGCAGGAUGUUGAAAUCAUCAUAUUUACAAAUCAGCACUGACUCCAUGGAGGCACUCAUCACUUUACCAUAAAC